Molecule: ribosomal RNA, 492 nt
Filed under: uncultured bacterium
Lineage: Bacteria
Description: partial 16S ribosomal RNA
Rfam family: Bacterial small subunit ribosomal RNA
Source: RNAcentral
AGUGAACGCUGGCGGUAGGCCUAACACAUGCAAGUCGAACGGCAGCACAGUAAGAGCUUGCUCUUACGGGUGGCGAGUGGCGGACGGGUGAGGAAUACAUCGGAAUCUACUUUUUCGUGGGGGAUAACGUAGGGAAACUUACGCUAAUACCGCAUACGACCUACGGGUGAAAGCAGGGGAUCUUCGGACCUUGCGCGAUUGAAUGAGCCGAUGUCGGAUUAGCUAGUUGGCGGGGUAAAGGCCCACCAAGGCGACGAUCCGUAGCUGGUCUGAGAGGAUGAUCAGCCACACUGGAACUGAGACACGGUCCAGACUCCUACGGGAGGCAGCAGUGGGGAAUAUUGGACAAUGGGCGCAAGCCUGAUCCAGCCAUGCCGCGUGGGUGAAGAAGGCCUUCGGGGUGUAAAGCCCUUUUGUUGGGAAAGAAAAGCAGCAGGUUAAUACCCCGCUGUUCUGACGGUACCCAAAGAAUAAGCACCGGCUAACUUCGUG